Molecule: ribosomal RNA, 469 nt
Filed under: uncultured bacterium
Lineage: Bacteria
Description: bacterial SSU rRNA
Rfam family: Bacterial small subunit ribosomal RNA
Source: RNAcentral
UGGGGAAUAUUGGACAAUGGGCGAAAGCCUGAUCCAGCCAUGCCGCGUGUGUGAAGAAGGUCUUCGGAUUGUAAAGCACUUUAAGUUGGGAGGAAGGGUUGUAGAUUAAUACUCUGCAAUUUUGACGUUACCGACAGAAUAAGCACCGGCUAACUCUGUGCCAGCAGCCGCGGUAAUACAGAGGGUGCAAGCGUUAAUCGGAAUUACUGGGCGUAAAGCGCGCGUAGGUGGUUUGUUAAGUUGGAUGUGAAAUCCCCGGGCUCAACCUGGGAACUGCAUCCAAAACUGGCAAGCUAGAGUAUGGUAGAGGGUGGUGGAAUUUCCUGUGUAGCGGUGAAAUGCGUAGAUAUAGGAAGGAACACCAGUGGCGAAGGCGACCACCUGGACUGAUACUGACACUGAGGUGCGAAAGCGUGGGGAGCAAACAGGAUUAGAUCUCGUAGUCCCUGAGCGGGCUGGCAAGGCGCAU